UAAACCCUAACAGAAGCACUAUCAUCACCACUAGCUACUGCACUGUCAGUAAACAAAUUAACCUACGUAUUAACCAUGGGUGCUCGAGAAGCAUUAGCUUGAGGGGAGUGUUGGUAACGUCUAUGACUGAAAUCAAAUUGUUGUGCCCAACUAAGGGAAACCUUAACAGUCUCAAGAGCCGUCCAAGUAACGUCUUGACAGAUGAAAGUAUUCAUUUUUUUUCUAGGUGCACCAUUCAAUUAGGCCAAAAAGACAAGACCAAAUUACCCCUCG
This 273-nucleotide long non-coding RNA is filed under the name Gossypium barbadense (sea-island cotton). RNAcentral describes it as "long non-coding RNA (GBAR_LNC011914)". The record is from RNAcentral. Lineage: Eukaryota; Viridiplantae; Streptophyta; Magnoliopsida; Malvales; Malvaceae.